UCAUCUAGAAAUUAAGAUAUACUAUAGAGAGCAGAUAUUGUAGUGCUGUUAUAUGUACUUAAAUACAUGCGUGUAAUUGUGUGUGUGUGUGUGUGUAUAUAUAUAUAUAUAUAUAUAUAUAUCAGUUGUUUUUAUAUAUGUAUUAUAUACAGGAGCUAGAUUGAGGAGAUUUGUAUAUAUACAUGACAUGACAUGCAGAUGAAUCAAGUAGAGGAGGAAGAGGGGAAGCUGCUGCCUGCUGGUGGGGGCUUGGCGAAUGUAGAUAUAGCUGAUCAGGAGUCGAUGAUCCUUCUUCUUCUUAUCUAUAUAUUUUCAGUAAUUAAGUCUGGCAAAACUCAAGCAAGCGUUCUGGAUCUAGCUAUAUACGUACCUUGCAAUGACCCAACUGCCCCUAGCUGUCCACAAAGGAAAAUAACUAUAUAAUGCUCGACUGUAAAGGAAUUGAACACUGCAUGUGGAUUGUGGGGAGCUCUAAUUAAAACUCCUUUCAACUGGAAUAGCCUAGAGAUUAAUUAAGACUUAAGAGGCAGACAGAUUGGAGCCAGGCAAUAAUAUAUAUAUAUAUAUAUAUGGAUAGAUUCCCAUAUAUAUAUAAUAUAUAUAUGUAUACUUAUACCAGUAUUUUUAAUUAAAUAUAUAGGUACUAUAGUUUCUUUGCUUUGAUUUCUCAGACACUUCCUUUGUUUCUUCUUAUAUUUAUUGUCAUUUUACAAUGUUUA
Molecule: long non-coding RNA, 719 nt
Filed under: Panax ginseng (ginseng)
Lineage: Eukaryota; Viridiplantae; Streptophyta; Magnoliopsida; Apiales; Araliaceae
Description: long non-coding RNA (PGIN_LNC017368)
Source: RNAcentral